Molecule: non-coding RNA, 79 nt
Organism: Tupaia belangeri (northern tree shrew)
Lineage: Eukaryota; Metazoa; Chordata; Mammalia; Scandentia; Tupaiidae
Source: Rfam
AAAGGGCUUGUAUGAAACAUGAGAUGGCAAAGACAUGGAAGAAAAAUAAAGCUAAUGCCAGGAAUUCCGCUUUGCUUAA